Molecule: RNA transcript, 5503 nt
Organism: Chroicocephalus ridibundus (black-headed gull)
Lineage: Eukaryota; Metazoa; Chordata; Aves; Charadriiformes; Laridae
Gene: FSHR
Gene name: follicle stimulating hormone receptor
Exons: 11
Source: RefSeq, a predicted model, not a curated record
AUCCCAGCUUUUGGGGCGGAUCUUCCAUUCAGGGAGUUGGGCUGGGAGGUCUCUGCGUUCCUCCCUUUGAGAUGAAGGAGACAGGCACAGAUGUGAAGACAGAGAUGUCUCGGGUCCUCGCCUGUUUGCUGGUUUUCCUGGCAGGCUGCUGGGGAUGCCAGCACCACGCCUGCCGCUGCGCCGGCAGGGUCUUCAUUUGUCAGGAGAGCAAGGUGGUCCAGGUUCCCCGGGACAUCCCCGCCAACACCACCGAACUGAGAUUUGUCCUCACCAAGAUGAGAGUCGUUCCAAAAGGAGCUUUCGCAGGACUGGGUGACCUAGAGAAAAUAGAGAUCUCACAGAAUGAUGCCUUGGAGGUCAUAGAAGCAAAUGUGUUUUCCAACCUUCCCAAACUACAUGAAAUAAGAAUCGAAAAGGCCAACAACCUUGUGUACAUUGAUCAAGAUGCCUUCCAACACCUUCCGAGCCUCAGAUAUUUGUUAAUAUCAAACACUGGCCUUCGGUUUUUACCUGCUGUCCAUAAGGUGCACUCUUUCCAGAAAGUUUUACUAGAUAUUCAAGACAAUAUCCAUAUACGUACAAUCGAAAGAAAUUCGUUCACGGGACUGAGUUCUGAAAGCGUGAUUCUAUGGUUGAAUAAAAAUGGGAUUCGGGAAAUUGAGAAUCACGCAUUUAAUGGAACCUACCUGGAUGAGCUGAAUCUAAGUGAUAAUCACAACCUAGAAAAAUUACCAAAUGAGGUCUUCCAAGGAGCCAAUGGGCCCGUUGUUUUGGAUAUUUCAAGGACAAGAAUCAGUUUCCUGCCAAGUCACGGAUUAGAACUCAUUAAGAAGCUAAGAGCAAGGUCUACGUACAAUUUAAAAAAGCUUCCUGAUUUAAGCAAAUUUAGAUCUUUGAUUGAAGCAAACUUCACCUAUCCUAGCCAUUGCUGUGCAUUUACAAACUGGAAAAGACAAAACACCGAAUUGCAUCCGAUAUGUAGCAUAUCUCUGGCCAAGCAAGACCUUGAUGAGCAGCCUGGCGAUAAGAUACAUAAACGAUCUGCAGCUGAAGAUUCUAUUUCCAACUACGGCAUAGGAUUUGACCCAGCAGAGAAUGAUUUUGACUAUGGUUUAUGCAAUGAAGUAGUUAAUGUAGCUUGCUCACCUAAACCUGAUGCUUUCAAUCCGUGUGAAGAUAUCAUGGGAUACACCAUUCUGAGGGUCUUGAUAUGGUUUAUCAACAUUUUAGCUAUCACUGGGAACAUUGUUGUCCUCAUUAUUUUAAUAAGCAGUCAAUACAAACUCACCGUACCUCGCUUUCUAAUGUGCAAUCUUGCAUUUGCAGACCUCUGCAUAGGUAUCUAUCUGUUGUUUAUUGCAUCUGUAGAUAUCCAGACCAAAAGCCAGUAUUACAACUACGCCAUAGACUGGCAAACUGGGGCAGGCUGCAAUGCUGCAGGAUUUUUUACGGUGUUUGCAAGUGAACUCUCAGUCUACACACUGACAGUGAUAACUCUGGAAAGGUGGCACACCAUCACCUACGCCAUGCAACUGGACCGCAAGGUUCGAUUUCGUCAUGCUGUGAUUAUAAUGGUUUUUGGCUGGAUGUUUGCUUUCACGGUGGCACUUCUUCCCAUAUUUGGAGUCAGCAGCUACAUGAAGGUCAGCAUCUGUUUGCCCAUGGAUAUAGAAACACCAUUUUCUCAGGCCUACGUUAUAUUUCUUUUAGUGUUGAACGUACUUGCAUUUGUGAUUAUAUGUGCCUGCUACGUCUGCAUCUACUUUACUGUGAGAAACCCUAAUGUCAUCUCUUCAAAUAGUGACACCAAGAUUGCUAAGCGCAUGGCCAUACUGAUCUUCACGGACUUCCUCUGCAUGGCACCAAUAUCUUUUUUUGCAAUAUCAGCCUCACUCAGGGUUCCUCUCAUCACAGUGUCCAAAUCUAAGAUCCUUCUGGUUUUGUUUUACCCCAUCAAUUCCUGUGCUAACCCUUUCCUCUAUGCCAUUUUCACCAAGACUUUCCGCAGGGAUUUCUUCAUUCUGUUGAGCAAGUUUGGUUGCUGCGAAAUGCAAGCCCAGAUUUACAGAACAGAGACCUCCUCAUCUGCUCAUAAUUUCCACACGAGAAAUGGCCAUUGCCCUCCUGCAUCAAAAAACAGUGAUGGGACUGUUUAUUCAUCGGUUCCUCUGAAUCACUUGAACUGAAAUGCUUGCAUGAAUUUGUGUCUGAGGCAGUGUGAUAAUCACUUUCAACUGUGAAUUUGAAUAAUGACUUCAGCAUAGCAUGUAAACUUAUUUUUUAUGAGAAAAAAAAUGGUUUCCACUUUGCUAUUUUUGUUCAAUGAACAGCCAUCAGAGAUGACACAUCAUCUUCAUCAGUUCUUGAAGGACAAAGAGCAAAACUUUAGUACGUGCCAAAGUGUUCUUGUAGAAUUGUCUCAAGAAAUAAAUGAGAUUAUAAACUGGUAUCUCCCACCAUGCAGGCAGAGAUUCCCUUCCUUCUAGGAAGAUGUUAACUGCUUAUUGAGAAUUAAAUACUGUUUAUAUACGGUAGAAAGAAAAAAAUAGGUAGAAUUAAUUUUUUUUGCCUGUGAAAUAUGUUAUAACAAUGACAGGUAAUUAGCUGUUUUCAUUAAUCAUAUCUCCUAGGGUUACAGGAGACAGAAGGCCAACUUAACGCCCUCCUUCAGCACAGACUUACUGGGAUUGACAAUAUCUUGUGUUGUUUCUAUUUCUGUUGACCACAGCAGAGGGGCAGGAGGCAUCUCCAGCUUUGCUGAUGUUUGCUGUUCCACACUGCACGGACCUGCCUUACCCUGCACAAAAGUGUCACUUUGGGUAGGACUUGUGUUGAUCUAGAUUAGCAGUCUCAGAGAACCAGAGUUCAUCGGAGUUUGGAUCAAGGAGUUUGGUUUGGGGUUUGUUUUCAAGGUGAGAAAGAGCAAGAACGAGAGCGGGGAUAAGGGGGAUGUUUCUCAAGUUGGUCUCACAAAGUCGGGUUGAAAUCAUGUUAGUGGGGCUGGGCCAACGGGCUGCUCUAACAUGAUGCCUGAGGCAGGUUUGCCAUACAGCAGUAUUAGUGCAUUACUCUGUCUGGGCUAUGUAAAGGACGACGGAUCCAGAUACGGCUUUUGAAAACCUGUACAAAAGUUUUUCUGAAAUCCUAAAAGUUCUCUUUCCCUUUCCCUUCUAAAAAAAAAAAAAAAGCCUCACGAGCACAUUAUCAGACAAUGGUCCAGAUUGAAAAACCUGAAAGAAACCAUGCACUGCAUAUGUUGAAAUAACAAAAAAGAAAAAAAAACCCUCUUAAUCAAGAUUUCCUAAUUUUAUGGGGGUUUUGAAUAACAUCUCAAUGAACAUACUGCCUUUUUACAUGAUUUGAAUAUCAAACUUUUUUGAGGGUUAAUUGUUCCAAAUCACACCAAAGAUAUUUAGGGUUGUGGAGGGUUUUCUCAUGCUGAUUGUGUGUCUGCGUGUGGGCAUGUGGGCAUAAAGAAAACACCAGGACAGGAGUCUGGGUUUCAUUCCCAUCUCACAAACAAUUCAUGGUUUUGACCCAUGAGAUUAUAAAUCUUUGGAGUCUUCAUGGUUAAAUAUGAUGAGCUUUGAAUAUUUCCUGCCUACAACUCCUAAAAUUUCAGUAGAAAUUCUUGAUGCUUCUAUCCGUAAUUUCCCCUGUCAUCAGCAUCACAUUUCAGCAUCCGAACCUGAUGUGAAUAACUCCAGGAGACGAUUAUUCAUUCAGUCCUAUCCAGGGAAGGAAGUAUCAGCUCCCUAGUGCAUAAAACAGGGGAGAUCAAAGAUAGUGCAUUGCGGGGGGGUGGGAAUUUCGUUACUCAAAACAAGUAACACUCCUUCCAAGAUCCAGGAGAAGGAAGAAUGAAAGAGCAAAAUAAGAAAGACAGCUCAUCUCUGGGAAGCUCUUCUGGCUAUUCAGAGGAAUCAUUUCUUCACAAAUGCUUUAUGUCAUAUACAGUGUACUGGUGUGGAGCCAUUAAAACCUGUCCCAAUGGAAAUGUCUUAACAAUGAUGUUCCAAAACGACAAAUGUUCAGUUGCAUUAAAGAGAGAAUCCCGGAUCUAUUCUUGGGCCAAAAAUGAGGGGUAUUCUUUGGCAAAUAGUAGCCCAUUUUUGUUGAUAAAUAGGGCAAAUUCUUGUAGCACGUCUCACUUUUUUGCCUGCACCCUGACCAUUUGCAAAGGCAAAAGGGGGGGACCUGGCAGUUCAGGAAAGCACAGGCAUUGUCUAGAAGCCAGCCUUGUAAACCCUCUCACAGCUACGUCAGGCACAUGAGCUUGGUGCAACUUACCGAAUUCCUGUGAAACUACUGCCCAGACGUUUGCAGAAUCAGGUCCUGCUUAAAUGCGCUUUACAAAUAAACCCCCAGAACAGCCUUGCAGGGUUGUGCCUUGUAGCCAAUUAGACCAGGGACCAAGGGAAGAGGCUGUCUAGCCCAUGGCUCUUCCUCCAGAGCAGGCAAGGGAUGGAUGAUACUCAAAGCGCAAAUAGAACCUGCAUAACCGAACACCUUGCCUCGUCCCUAGCAGGAGGACAGCACAGAAAUGCUGGAGGCACAUGUCAUCCUGCCCACGCCUGCUGCGCAGGAGCUGCGGUGGCAGCUCAGGCUCUGGCAGCAGCUCCAAAGCUAGGAGGCUGACCAUGUCAUUGCCAAGACAAUAACCUCCUUCUUGUAGUCCUCAGAUCUCCUUGGCUUUCACUGUUCUUUGGAUUUUAAUUUUAAGCAUCUUCCAAAUUGUGGAGGGCAUUGUAGGACCUGUAUAUUUCCCUUUGUGGGACAUUGGUCCAUUUAUAGCAAUUUUUAAAGCAGUUUUUCUUUGAAGAAAGCAAUAUAAGAAAAAAAAAAAAAAAGGCAAGAGAUUUUAUUCAUGCUUGUAAUAUAAAAAAAGCCUGCUGGUGUCUGGUGUGGAUUUUGUCAGCACUGAACAUGUUUAUGUGUGUAAUCUUUAAACCAUUUUACAUUUCUCUUUCUGAAGUCCAUUUUAAUAAAACCAAUAUCAAAACAAAGUGCCUUGAGAACAAGUGUAUGGCCAGAGAUACGCUGACAAAGUAUGCAAUAAAUGUUACUGCUUAUCUGGAGAGCUCCGUUUAUGCGGCACAGCCUCCACAGUCGGGUCACUGUGACCUAUGAAGGAAAUUCAGCUGAUGAGAGACUCUGCAAAGAAAACCGUCCUGGAGCCUCCCGAAGAGUUAACAAAACACAGAAAGAUUUUGCCAUGUGUUACAAGGAUCUUUGUCACCCCCAACCUGGACACCUGCAGCAAGUUGUACCCACACCAAAAAAGAACAGAAAAAAUUAGCAGGGUCUCAAUAAGAGCAGUGCACAGGUAGGAUAAAUACAUGUGCUGUAUUUACGAGCGGGUGGAAGAUUUCAGGGCAGGAUGGAGCAAUACGGGCUUUUCUGUUGAGUCAUCCAAAUAUCCAGUGCUAAAAUUCUGCAUUAAAGGGGCCAUUUUGGCUGAAGUAUAGUUCCCAGGGAACAAGCGAUAGAAAUUUGCAUGGGA